Molecule: long non-coding RNA, 3298 nt
Organism: Cuculus canorus (common cuckoo)
Lineage: Eukaryota; Metazoa; Chordata; Aves; Cuculiformes; Cuculidae
Exons: 4
Source: RefSeq, a predicted model, not a curated record
UCUGGGACUGCAAUGCCCCUGCUUCCCUAAAAAUUGCCCAUUAUAUUUUCCUGAAUUGGCUGUGUCCAAUGCUUCACUUAGAAUGGUGUUUUUACUUCCAGAAUGGGCACGUGUGCAAGGUACACUAUCUGCUUACCCCGGUGCGGUGCCCUCAAUUUCAGACUCUACUAGGAAGGACUCCUUUCUCCUGCUAAGGCUUAUCCCUAGUGACAGCCAUACAAACACCAGUCAUACUGGCUCAUUCACAUGCUAAUUGAUCAUCUGGAGGAGGACUAUCCCAUCUGAACACAGCACAGCCACACCAGGCCUUAAGAAUCCUUGUCAUAGGAAGAAAAGCACGGAAGGGGUUGUGCUUCUAGUCACCUGCUUAUUGUCACAGAUGAUUUGAAGCAUGGCUCGACUCUGCAAGCAGCCUCGGUCACUACCCACCCUGCUGUCUUUCUGCUGGCAAUCUCCUUCUUUCCAUGGGUGUCACAGGAAAAGCCUUGUUUUCUGCUGAUGCCAGGGAGCAUUGUAGCACGGUGGGAGAAGAAAGAAUCUUCUGCGUUUUUGUUUAUAUAGUGAGGGAAUAAGAAUUAGCAUCACCAACUUGUUCCUGACACAUUCCUGAAAAAUUCCUUGCACCUCCCAUAAAUCUGAGACACAUAUAAAAAUUUUGUUUUCAGUCUUAAAGCUAAAGACAAGCAUCAAUUUUAACAUCAAUUUUUAGAGCUAAUUGCAUUGUAAUUUAUAAUCUUAAACUGAAUUUUUAAGAGUGCUCUCAUCCUUGAAAAAAAGUGAACAUUUCAUUUUUGGUGACUAACAAUGAAGUUAUUUUAAAGGUAACUGAGCAUAGCAUGAAGAGUCCUAAAUAUAUUUAUUAGAUUGUUAAACAUAAUUAAUUGAAUCUGGUUGCCUUUGCAAGUGAAAAGCACUUUUCAUUAGCCUGACAGUUUCUUACCAAAGAACAAAAUCGCAACAUUAAAACAUAUGCAGCUUACUGAAUAAUCAUGUUAUUUGUCAGACAAGCAGAAGAAUCAUCACUGAAGUGCUCUCUCAAAGUGCCAAAUUGGGUAAUAUACAUAAUCAGGCUCCAUUUGAUUAAAUAUGUGCCCAUGGUAACAGCCACACUCAUGAUCCACAUAUUAGUAAAGCCUUGAAAUAAUCUUUGAGGGGGAUCAUGGCAACACAGCACAUCUGAAACUUCACUGGGGAGACUUUUGGAACAAAACCUACAUGCAGGUUUUCUGUGUUCCCGUGGUUGUUCUUUAUUUUAUCUUAUUAUCUCUUAUUUUUAAAACAAUGCAUGCCUCAGUUCUCAAAGGUGAUAUAUUGCUUCCACAAAAUGUCACUACAAUUUUAUCCCUAAAAGGACUAUCUCUUAACCAUCUGCAUCACAUUUUAAGGCCUAAAACCUUCCUAUAUUUAGGGAUGCAUCCCAGCAAUUGGCAAGGCUGCUGCAAGCUGUUUCUAGGAGGUGGGAACAAUCAUCACCUGGAAGCCAGCCCAUCUCGGAUCGACUAUUUUCUCCCAGUCCAGGAGAGCCUGGUGAUGGAUAAGGCCUUCUGGAUGUUCUUUUAGACUUUUGCAGGAGCCUCGUGAAGAGACUGCAAGGUCUUAGCAAGGAGACUGAUUUUGCAUCAAAUCCAAGCCUCUGAGAGAGCCUGCAAGCACUGUGCUACUGCCAACCCACAGGGAACGAGACUGGAGGGUACUGUUCGGGUAACAGUGGAACCCAAGAGAGUUUGUUUAGCUGUAGAUGCAAUAUGAAUUGUUCCUGCAGUUUAUUUUUACAUGCUUAGAGGAUGAAUGAGUUUGGAAAGUCAGAAGGAACCAGCAGAAUGAAUUAUUAGGGGUUAUUUUUACAAAAUGAGAGAAAUAUAUCUCCUGGUGCAAUAGUGUAUAUUCAGGACCGAUGAGACUUGCUGCUUUUGCAGUAAUGCCUACUGAGAAACACUUAAAGAAGCUUUUUCCCCGGGUAAGGAGGAGACCAAGAUGCAGAAAAGUUCCCCCAGAUGAGGGGACCAGGGAAAGACUGGUCUGUAGCAGGGAAACCUAUGCAACAUACGCUGGGAGUCUGGCAGGAGAUGAUUGCUGAGACUCAGUCCUGGCCAGCCUGCUCCAGAGGGCUAAGGUAUACAUGGCUUGUCUGGCCAUAUCAACUCUCCCACCACUGCAAGAAAGCCAUAGCGUACCCAUGUGCAGACACCUCAACCUGAAGAGAUAGGACCUGGCAUCAAGGGCCCCUGUUUGCAGAUAUAUGAUGGAGAGUCUGUGACUGAAAGAUUGUGAAAAAUAAAUGCACAAAGAUGAUUUAGGUUGUCUUUUAACUUUCGAGAAGGAGAGGGCUAUCCCAAGCAUAUGGGAAACACAGAAUGACUAAAAAGCUUAGGCAGGGGAAGCACAGGGGAAGACUUUAUUCUGUGUUUUGGCGGAUACCUGACAGAGAGGGGGGAGCACUUCCUCCAAGAGGCUGUUGACACAGGCAGUCAUGUUGCAUCCUUCGACUGGAGGGCAAGAACACUGUAAAUCCAGUCCACAUGAAGUUGUCAAAUUGUUAUAGAUCAUAGAAUCAUAGAAUCAUAGAAUAGUUUGGGUUGGAAGGGACCUUAAAGAUCAUCUAGUUCCAAUCCCCCUGCCAUAUUGCAGUGUUAGGAUUACACUUACUGAGGUGAAAAUAGGCCUGUGGAUUCACACUUGUCAUGCAGCGUAUGUUUAUCAGUGUGUAACCUUUCUCCACAUUAGCAUGCUCUUAACCAUACCUAGGGGCAAAGGAUCCAUAAUCCUCAGCAAUAUAAUUUAACAUCAGUGGUCAAAUUGUACUAAAGUUGUGAAAUUCCCACAUCCCUCCCUCUUCUCUUUCGAUGAGCAUUGCUUUUAGCAUUACUCCUUAAAGCAGGGGAUUAUUCAAACUAAUUCCUUGUUGUUCACAUCAGCACCAAACAAAGUCCAGACCAAAACCCAUAUCUGCCUUGGCUGAGAGCAGGAGGACUCCAAAGGGCAUUGGAUUGUGUAUGAGCCCUGCGGUGAUGGUAGUGAUGGCUGUGCAUAUCCUAAACACCCUGUUUAGGACACUUUGUGGACAGCCACUGCUUGUGUUCAGCAGCAUGCUUGUACUGGGUAUGUCCAGACGCUUGGGACCUUCUGCAGACUGAAGGGCAUACUCUGGUCAUGGGGCUGGAGGUUUGGCAGCUUUAUGGGUGAUGAAACCAGGCUGAAAGGCACAGUGAACAUACCCUGUGCACAUGUGCAAGUGAGAGUGCUCACACAGACAUGCGUGUGUCGGCAAUAUUGGUCCCUGCUGUGAUAGUUGACUCUA